CAGCAGCCGCGGUAAUACGAAGGGUGCAAGCGUUAAUCGGAAUUACUGGGCGUAAAGCGUGCGUAGGCGGUGAGUUAAGUCUGCUGUGAAAUCCCCGGGCUCAACCUGGGAAUGGCAGUGGAUACUGGCAAGCUAGAGUGUGUCAGAGGAUGGUGGAAUUCCCGGUGUAGCGGUGAAAUGCGUAGAGAUCGGGAGGAACAUCAGUGGCGAAGGCGGCCAUCUGGGACAACACUGACGCUGAGGCACGAAAGCGUGGGGAGCAAACAGGAUUAGAGACCCCGGUAGUCCCUGUCUCUUAUAC
RNAcentral lists this ribosomal RNA (301 nucleotides) under uncultured bacterium. RNAcentral describes it as "partial 16S ribosomal RNA". It matches the Rfam family "Bacterial small subunit ribosomal RNA", at positions 509 to 807 of the family's 1533-position model. The record is from RNAcentral.